Solanum lycopersicum (tomato) is the source of this 572-nucleotide non-coding RNA. The record is from RefSeq and is a predicted model, not a curated record. Lineage: Eukaryota; Viridiplantae; Streptophyta; Magnoliopsida; Solanales; Solanaceae.
UGUUGGUGGACAAUUAGGUCCCUCCAUAGCUGAAGUUCUCGACUCAAAUUUAUGCUAACCAAAUUUGUUUUUUUAGAAACAUGAGGCCUUCUGUUUUCAGAUUCCAUCAAAAUAUUCAAUCCCUAUUCUUCCAUAGAAACUCAUAACUGAAAUCCUUGGAAGGCUUCCUGUGAAAUCCUUCUUGAACAUUAGGUCGGUUUUGAAAUCUUUUCUUUUGAUAAUCUCUAGCCAUAAACUUAUCAAAAAUCAAUUUAUUGUAUCUAUUGAUAUAAAAUAUUCGACAUACCACAACUUUGUGUUGUCCCAAACUCAGAACGAACCAAGUAUACAUCAAGAAUGAAGGCUGAAGGAGCUCAAACGAAUGACAAUGCUUUAGCUGAUGACAUGUUGGAAGCUUUGUAAGGUUUCAAGGUGAAGCUUGGGAAAGUUCCUCCUAAGACAAAGCAUGUCCUCAUAUAUUCGAGGGCAUAAUGUUUUUCUUAUUUUUGUUUUAAUGACUUAUAUGUAUUUCAUUUCAAUGUGAAGGGCCGUGUCUCUAAGAUAUCAUGUCGUGUCUUAAGUUGGCUUGUGAC